GAAACGCGAUAGGUAAUGUGAAUUGCAGAAUUCCGUGAAUCAUCGAAUCUUUGAACGCACAUUGCGCCUGCUGGUAUUCCGGUAGGCAUGCCUGUUUGAGCGUCAGCAAAACCUCUCAGCUAAUACAUUUUUUUGUAAAGCUGGUUAUGGGUGUUUGGAGGAAAUUGACUGUCAUGGUCAGCUCCCGCCUUAAACUUGCUGCACGACCGCAAGCUAAUGCUAGGUUAAUGGAGUGGUAUUUUCUUAUAAUUCCAGCAACACUACAUGGCUUUUGCGGCGUUAAAUCUAAUGUCGUCCUAAACGCGACUGAAGUUUGACCUCAAAUCAGACAAGGAUACCCGCUGAACUUAA
Molecule: unclassified non-coding RNA, 351 nt
Filed under: uncultured Orbiliales
Lineage: Eukaryota; Fungi; Ascomycota; Orbiliomycetes; Orbiliales
Description: sequence contains ITS1
Rfam family: 5.8S ribosomal RNA (bases 1-105)
Source: RNAcentral